GAUGAACGCUGGCGGCGUGCCUAAUACAUGCAAGUCGAGCGAACGGACGAGAAGCUUGCUUCUCUGAUGUUAGCGGCGGACGGGUGAGUAACACGUGGAUAACCUACCUAUAAGACUGGGAUAACUUCGGGAAACCGGAGCUAAUACCGGAUAAUAUUUUGAACCGCAUGGUUCAAAAGUGAAAGACGGUCUUGCUGUCACUUAUAGAUGGAUCCGCGCUGCAUUAGCUAGUUGGUAAGGUAACGGCUUACCAAGGCAACGAUGCAUAGCCGACCUGAGAGGGUGAUCGGCCACACUGGAACUGAGACACGGUCCAGACUCCUACGGGAGGCAGCAGUAGGGAAUCUUCCGCAAUGGGCGAAAGCCUGACGGAGCAACGCCGCGUGAGUGAUGAAGGUCUUCGGAUCGUAAAACUCUGUUAUUAGGGAAGAACAUAUGUGUAAGUAACUGUGCACAUCUUGACGGUACCUAAUCAGAAAGCCACGGCUAACUACGUGCCAGCAGCCGCGGUAAUACGUAGGUGGCAAGCGUUAUCCGGAAUUAUUGGGCGUAAAGCGCGCGUAGGCGGUUUUUUAAGUCUGAUGUGAAAGCCCACGGCUCAACCGUGGAGGGUCAUUGGAAACUGGAAAACUUGAGUGCAGAAGAGGAAAGUGGAAUUCCAUGUGUAGCGGUGAAAUGCGCAGAGAUAUGGAGGAACACCAGUGGCGAAGGCGACUUUCUGGUCUGUAACUGACGCUGAUGUGCGAAAGCGUGGGGAUCAAACAGGAUUAGAUACCCUGGUAGUCCACGCCGUAAACGAUGAGUGCUAAGUGUUAGGGGGUUUCCGCCCCUUAGUGCUGCAGCUAACGCAUUAAGCACUCCGCCUGGGGAGUACGACCGCAAGGUUGAAACUCAAAGGAAUUGACGGGGACCCGCACAAGCGGUGGAGCAUGUGGUUUAAUUCGAAGCAACGCGAAGAACCUUACCAAAUCUUGACAUCCUUUGACAACUCUAGAGAUAGAGCCUUCCCCUUCGGGGGACAAAGUGACAGGUGGUGCAUGGUUGUCGUCAGCUCGUGUCGUGAGAUGUUGGGUUAAGUCCCGCAACGAGCGCAACCCUUAAGCUUAGUUGCCAUCAUUAAGUUGGGCACUCUAAGUUGACUGCCGGUGACAAACCGGAGGAAGGUGGGGAUGACGUCAAAUCAUCAUGCCCCUUAUGAUUUGGGCUACACACGUGCUACAAUGGACAAUACAAAGGGCAGCGAAACCGCGAGGUCAAGCAAAUCCCAUAAAGUUGUUCUCAGCUCGGAUUGUAGUCUGCAACUCGACUACAUGAAGCUGGAAUCGCUAGUAAUCGUAGAUCAGCAUGCUACGGUGAAUACGUUCCCGGGUCU
RNAcentral lists this ribosomal RNA (1372 nucleotides) under uncultured bacterium. RNAcentral describes it as "bacterial SSU rRNA". It matches the Rfam family "Bacterial small subunit ribosomal RNA", at positions 28 to 1381 of the family's 1533-position model. The record is from RNAcentral.